This 782-nucleotide ribosomal RNA is filed under the name Minervarya pierrei (Pierre's cricket frog). RNAcentral describes it as "partial large subunit ribosomal RNA". It matches the Rfam family "Bacterial large subunit ribosomal RNA", at positions 1510 to 2549 of the family's 2925-position model. The record is from RNAcentral. Lineage: Eukaryota; Metazoa; Chordata; Amphibia; Anura; Dicroglossidae.
UAUUUAGUAUUGAGUAAUCUUAUAAAAUUAUAAGAGAUACAAUGUUAAAACUAGUAACAUGAAGCAGCCCUUCUCCCUAAUGCAAGCAAAUACCAAAAUGGACUAACCAUUGGUUCUUAACGUCCAUGAGCUCAACCUAGCAACACUCCCUUCGAAAACCCUAUGCCCAAAUUACGUUAACCUUACACUAGAGCAUUCCUGGAAAGAUAAAAAGAAAAAGAAGGAACUCGGCAAACUAAAAUCCCGCCUGUUUACCAAAAACAUCGCCUCUUGACAUACUCCCUCCUAUAAGAGGUCCAGCCUGCCCAGUGAAAUUUUAACGGCCGCGGUACUCUGACCGUGCGAAGGUAGCAUAAUCACUUGUUCUUUAAAUGAGGACUAGUAUCAACGGCAUCACGAGGAUUUUACUGUCUCCUUUUUCCUAUCGGUGAAACUGAUCUCCCCGUGAAGAAGCGGGGAUAAUAUUAUAAGACGAGAAGACCCCAUGGAGCUUUAAACCCAGUAACACCUCAAACACACCCCCUCCCAAAAAGUUUUAAUGUUCUGUUCACUGGUUUUAGGUUGGGGCGACCGCGGAGUACAACUUAACCUCCACAGCGCACGGAACUUAUUCCUUACCUGAGAGCUACACCUCAAAGAAUUAUCACAUUAACGUAAAAUGAUCCAAUAUUUUCCUUAUUGAUUAAUGAACCAAGUUACCCUGGGGAUAACAGCGCAAUCCAUUUCUAGAGCCCCUAUCGACAAAUGGGUUUACGACCUCGAUGUUGGAUCAGGGUAUCCCA